Molecule: long non-coding RNA, 655 nt
Organism: Ictidomys tridecemlineatus (thirteen-lined ground squirrel)
Lineage: Eukaryota; Metazoa; Chordata; Mammalia; Rodentia; Sciuridae
Source: RefSeq, a predicted model, not a curated record
GCCGUUACCACUUGAACCACUCCCGCUCUAAGAGAGGAGAUGAGACCGAAAGCGGAAGGCCCCGGGAGGGCGAGGGUUCCGCGGAUCUGUCAGGUUCUGUGAAGCUCGGGCUGUCACCUGAAAAAGAGAACUGUGCUUUUGUCUCUUCUGACAUCACCACUCCCAAGACAAAGAGCUAUCACUUUGGGAAUGUUGAAAAGAAACAGUGAAAAUAGAAUGUCCCAGCUGGAAGGAAACUGGUUCACUUGAAAGCUGCCCUUCUCUACCUACUCUAGCUUCUCAAGGCCACUGUGCCACUGUGGAUGGAAGAAGAACUGCUUCUCACUUUCCCAGCUUCCCAUAUCUUGUCAUUGGACUGACCCUCUGAGGAUCCCUGGCCCAAGGGUUUCUUGGUUCUGGACUGUCACCAGGGUCACAGAACAAGGACUAGGAAUAGGUACUGGAGUAGGCAUGAGGUGAAGAUGCCCAGAUAGCAGCAUGAUCAUGAAGUGGUGAGCAUAAAGCAGACAUGGAGACUGGAAGAAACCAGCAUCUCUCAUUUCUCCUUAUCAAAUGUCAAUAUCACAUCUGUUUUAUGUGUGUCAUUAUCCAUCUUGAGUUUUCAUAUAAUUGAAAUGGGUUGCCCAAUGUAAUUAAAUUUUUUUUCAUUUACACA